CCUACGGGAGGCAGCAGCAAGGAAUUUUCCGCAAUGGGCGAAAGCCUGACGGAGUAACGCCGCGUGGGUGAGGAAGCCCUUCGGGGUGUAAAGCCCUUUUCUGGGGGACGAAUAAUGACGGUACCUCAGGAAUAAGCAUCGGCUAACUACGUGCCAGCAGCCGCGGUAAUACGUAGGAUGCGAGCGUUAUCCGGAUUCAUUGGGCGUAAAGAGCGCGCAGGCGGUGCCUUAAGUUAGGCGUGAAAUUUCCCGGCUCAACUGGGAAGGGUCGCCUAAAACUGGGGCACUUGAGGACAGAAGGGGAAAGUGGAAUUCCCGGUGUAGCGGUAAAAUGCGUAGAUAUCGGGAGGAACACCAGUGGCGAAGGCGGCUUUCUGGUCUGUUUCUGACGCUGAGGCGCGAAAGCUAGG
RNAcentral lists this ribosomal RNA (410 nucleotides) under uncultured bacterium. Its description in RNAcentral is "partial 16S ribosomal RNA". It matches the Rfam family "Bacterial small subunit ribosomal RNA", at positions 338 to 764 of the family's 1533-position model. The record is from RNAcentral.